CCCCUCUCAGGGUUGCACCUGGAGAGUUUCCAGUACUCUACUAGGCUUGACUACAGGAGGGAGAGUCAAGCAUGGGCCUGUCCAUUCCAUUCCUAGCUUGGGCAGAGGCUAGCGAAUGGAAGGUAAUCUGCUACAAGU
Molecule: small nucleolar RNA, 138 nt
Organism: Ornithorhynchus anatinus (platypus)
Lineage: Eukaryota; Metazoa; Chordata; Mammalia; Monotremata; Ornithorhynchidae
Source: RefSeq, a predicted model, not a curated record